Molecule: long non-coding RNA, 1035 nt
Organism: Rhododendron vialii
Lineage: Eukaryota; Viridiplantae; Streptophyta; Magnoliopsida; Ericales; Ericaceae
Exons: 2
Source: RefSeq, a predicted model, not a curated record
UUAGUCGUGUGUUCCCUGUGUAGGUCAGGCGAAGGGCUAGACGAACCCAGCAACCGGACCAGAGGCUCAGGAGAGGUGACCUAAUCUAGAUCGACAACCCCCCAAAUACUACACUUACUGAACUCAACAACUGUAAAGUUCGGAUCAAACUUUUAAGCUCGUGUUAGGCCAUUUAUCAAACACACAUCUUGGAAAAAUCAAACUCGAAUAAGCUUUUAAUGAGUCGAGCACAAGCUCUGUACUGGUGUAGAAAACGUGAUGGGAGACCGCUUGGUGUAGAAAAGGUGAUGGCAAUCUUUCAAUUUUUAAGUUACGUGAUGGGAGCCAGCCAGGAGUAGAAAACAUGAUGGCAAUCUUUCAAUUAUUAAGGUCAUUCGUCAGUUAGCGCUAAUUAUAAAAUACCCGAUCCAAGCGGUUUGGCCAAGUGGUUACAAAAAAUCAACUAAAGGAAUUGUCUCCCAAGAUAUCGCAAGUUCGAAUGCCGGCCAGCCAUUCUAAACCUCGGAGCCACCGGAAAUUUUCCCGGGUGUUAACUUCUCGGUCCAAAAUUAGCCAAGUGUGCGCAAAUUGGCCCGGACUUCUGAUAGUAAAAAAAAAUUAUAUAUAGGACUUGUAACACACAUAUUUGCAGUGGCGAAUUCUGGGUUUCUCUCCCUCGGUUGAUUCAGGUUCGGCCGCAAAAGAUUUAAUUCAAGCAAACUCUAUGGGUCCCAUUGCGAUAUCGCUGCCGGUGAUUCUGUUGCUCUUGAUCAUAGCUCUAGCAUGCUACAUUUUCGGUAGGGCGCAGGCCAAGACCCAAGCCGCGAGAGCUCCCCAGUACUAUGGACCUCCAGCUCCCUGUGCUCCUCAAUCUCAUGGCCCUGUGAAAUGAAUUUGUGGUGGUUGUACAAACCAUGAUACAAAAUAUUUGCAUCCAAUUGAAAUAAAGGUGUGACAUGGUAGUCUCUGUCCAUAUGGUUUGAUGAUAGCAUUGUAUUUUGGUGUUUGAAUCCUUGCGUAAUGGCCUGAGAAUUUUUAAUUUCUUGAAUUUUCUUA